Molecule: ribosomal RNA, 253 nt
Filed under: uncultured prokaryote
Description: partial 16S ribosomal RNA
Rfam family: Bacterial small subunit ribosomal RNA
Source: RNAcentral
ACGGAGGGUGCGAGCGUUGUCCGGAAUCACUGGGCGUAAAGGGCGCGUAGGCGGUGCGGUAAGUCACCUGUGAAACCUCUGGGCUUAACUCAGAGCCUGCAGGCGAAACUGCCGUGCUCGAGUGUGGGAGAGGUGCGUGGAAUUCCCGGUGUAGCGGUGAAAUGCGUAGAUAUGCGGAGGAACACCGAUGGCGAAGGCAAUCCCCUGGGCCUGCACUGACGCUCAUGCACGAAAGCGUGGGGAGCAAACAGGA